AGCAGCCGCGGUAAUUCCAGCUCCAAUAGCGUAUAUUAAAGUUGUUGCAGUUAAAAAGCUCGUAGUUGAAUUUCGGGAUCAAGUCGUCGGUCGUGCUCAGGUACGUACUGGCGUCAUUGAUUUCUCCCUUCUGACGAACCAUGAUGUUAUUAAUUUGGUGUUAUGGGAAAUCAGGACUGUUACUUUGAAAAAAUUAGGUGUUUAAAGCAGGCUCACGCUUGAAUACAUUAGCAUGGAAUAAUGAAAUAGGACGUUCGAUCCUAUUUUGUUGGUUUUAGGAUCAACGUAAUGAUUAAUAGGGAUAGUUGGGGGCAUUAGUAUUCAAUUGUCAGAGGUGAAAUUCUUGGAUUUAUUGAAGACUAACUACUGCGAAAGCAUUUGCCAAGGAUGUUUUCAUUAAUCAAGAACGAAAGUUAGGGGAUCGAAGACGAUCAGAUACCGUCGUAGUCUUAACCAUAAACUAUGCCGACUAGGGAUCGGAUGAUGUUAAUUUUUUUAAUGACUCAUUCGGCGCCUUACG
RNAcentral lists this ribosomal RNA (520 nucleotides) under uncultured Glomus. RNAcentral's name for it is "SSU rRNA". It matches the Rfam family "Eukaryotic small subunit ribosomal RNA", at positions 569 to 1092 of the family's 1831-position model. Lineage: Eukaryota; Fungi; Glomeromycota; Glomeromycetes; Glomerales; Glomeraceae. The record is from RNAcentral.